Molecule: small nuclear RNA, 181 nt
Organism: Myotis lucifugus (little brown bat)
Lineage: Eukaryota; Metazoa; Chordata; Mammalia; Chiroptera; Vespertilionidae
Gene: U2
Rfam family: U2 spliceosomal RNA
About the family: U2 is a small nuclear RNA (snRNA) component of the spliceosome (involved in pre-mRNA splicing). Complementary binding between U2 snRNA (in an area lying towards the 5' end but 3' to hairpin I) and the branchpoint sequence (BPS) of the intron results the bulging out of an unpaired adenosine, on the BPS, which initiates a nucleophilic attack at the intronic 5' splice site, thus starting the first of two transesterification reactions that mediate splicing.
Source: Ensembl
AUUGCCUCUGGGCCUUUUGGCUACGAUCAAGUGUAGUAUCGGUUCUUAUCAGUUUAGUAUGUGGUACGUCCUUUAUCCAAGGACAACAUGUUAAAUGGAUUUCUGAAAUUAGGGGAUGGAUAGCAGCUUCCUCCAUGCAUUGACCCGGUAUUGCAGUGCCUCCUGGAAUGACGCACCCCCU